UACAGAGGAGCCAAGCGUUGUCCGGAUUGACUGGGCGUAAAGCGCACGCAGGCGGCACCGCGCGUGGGGUGUGAAAUCUGGCCGCUUAACGGCCAGGCGCCAUCCCAUACGGCGGAGCUGGAGCGAUGCAGAGGUCGAUGGAAUUGCCGGUGUAGUGGUGAAAUGCGUAGAGAUCGGCAGGAACACCAGUGGCGAAGGCGGCCACCUAGCCCGCACCUGACGCUGAGGCGCGACAGCGUGGGGAGCGAACUGG
Molecule: ribosomal RNA, 253 nt
Filed under: uncultured bacterium
Lineage: Bacteria
Description: partial 16S ribosomal RNA
Rfam family: Bacterial small subunit ribosomal RNA
Source: RNAcentral